GUGGAAAAGAAUCCGCCUGCCAAUGCAGGAACAAUACAGGGAAGAUUAGCAUGGCCCCUGGGUGAGGAUGACAGGCAAACUGGUGAACGCAUUCCAUAUUUUA
Molecule: small nuclear RNA, 103 nt
Organism: Bison bison bison
Lineage: Eukaryota; Metazoa; Chordata; Mammalia; Artiodactyla; Bovidae
Source: Ensembl